RNAcentral lists this small RNA (183 nucleotides) under Bacillus thermozeamaize. RNAcentral's name for it is "c-di-AMP sequence". It matches the Rfam family "c-di-AMP riboswitch aptamer (ydaO/yuaA leader)". Rfam says of the family: This family represents a conserved RNA structure found upstream of the ydaO and yuaA genes in Bacillus subtilis and related genes in other bacteria. Lineage: Bacteria; Bacillati; Bacillota; Bacilli; Caryophanales; Bacillaceae. The record is from RNAcentral.
CUCUUCAAUUCGCUGAAUUCCCGUCAGGGAAGCGGGGGAACCGAAUGGGCGUGUCCAUGGUGCACGCAGGGGUGAGUCCCGCGCGGAGACAACAGGGAUGAACAACCCUUUAUCUCUCGCGGGUAGGGCGAUUCUGGCGCCCGAACCCGUCAGCUAACCUCGUAAGCGUACCGGAAGGAGGGA